Molecule: ribosomal RNA, 502 nt
Filed under: uncultured bacterium
Lineage: Bacteria
Description: bacterial SSU rRNA
Rfam family: Bacterial small subunit ribosomal RNA
Source: RNAcentral
UCAGGAUGAACGGCUGGCGGCGUGCCUAACACAUGCAAGUCGAACGAAGCACUGCGGAUGGAGAGUUCGUCAAAAUCUGGCUUUGACUUAGUGGCGGACGGGUGAGUAAUGUGUGAGCAACCUGCCUUUCAGAGGGGGACAACAGUUGGAAACGACUGCUAAUACCGCAUAAUGUAUUGGGAGGGCAUCCUUUUGAUACCAAAGGAGCAAUCCGCUGAAAGAUGGGCUCACAUCUGAUUAGCUAGUUGGUGGGGUAACGGCCUACCAAGGCUGCGAUCAGUAGCCGGACGGAGAGGUUGAACGGCCACAUUGGGACUGAGAUACGGCCCAGACUCCUACGGGAGGCAGCAGUGGGGAAUAUUGGGCAAUGGGCGAAAGCCUACGACCCAGCAACGCCGCGUGAAGGAAGAAGGUCUUCGGAUUGUAAACUUCUUUUAUGAGGGACGAAGGACGUGACGGUACCUCAUGAAUAAGCCACGGCUAACUACGUGCCAGCAGCUGC